Molecule: long non-coding RNA, 698 nt
Filed under: Capsicum annuum
Lineage: Eukaryota; Viridiplantae; Streptophyta; Magnoliopsida; Solanales; Solanaceae
Description: long non-coding RNA (CANN_LNC001403)
Source: RNAcentral
UUCGGUAUCAUAGGUUCUCCUCGAUGAAGGUUCUUUCCCUUUCCAAUAAACGCCCCUAUUUCCUCCAGUGUGGGAGUAAGCUCAAAGUCGGAGAAUCGGAAUACGUUGUUUGAAGGAUCCCAAAACUGUACCAAAGAUUCUAUCACGUCUCUUCGUGGUUCAACAUUCAACAGACUCCUUAAAAAUCCCAAGUGUUUAUAUACCUCUCCCUGUUCAUAGUCAGUCAUAUUGUUAUACCAUAUCCGCAAUAGCUUUGGAACUUUAUCCAACACCAUGAAAUGGGGUACUUCAUCAUCCCUCGGCCUCUUGUCACUCCUUCCAACUGAGUUCAUAUUGCCCUAUAGGAUAAUGAUGACAAAUAAGAAUUCUAUUGUAAACCUCCUGAAGCAGGACGAAAAUAAUUUUCGAAAGAGGUUGACAAGAUGACACGGAAUAAGAUUUCAAAAUGAGCAUGAGAAAAUAACAACUGACAAAACGGGAAGUAUCCAAGUUUUCUCAAACAUCCUAAAGUAGAGACAAUAAUUUGAGGACGUUUGAACCAGACAGAUUAAAUUAUUAAAAUAGCAUAGUGGACCAAUUUUUUUUUUUUAAAAUGUUUGACAAAAAUGUGCUCUAUGAUAUUCCUGAGAAAGAUUUUAAAACAAAAAAAAACAGACAUAACGAGACCAUAACGUUAGAACGCCAUAAUCUCUAAAAAA